Molecule: ribosomal RNA, 468 nt
Filed under: uncultured bacterium
Lineage: Bacteria
Description: partial 16S ribosomal RNA
Rfam family: Bacterial small subunit ribosomal RNA
Source: RNAcentral
GAUGAACGCUGGCGGCGUGCUUAACACAUGCAAGUCGAACGGAAAGGCCCUGCUUUUGUGGGGUGCUCGAGUGGCGAACGGGUGAGUAAAACGUGAGUAACCUGCCCUUGUAUUUGUGAUAACUUCAGGAAACUGGGGCUAAUAUCGGAUAGGAGCUACUGAUGCAUGUUGGUGGUUGGAAAGUUUUGGCGGUUGGGGCUGGACUCGAGGCUUAUCAGCUUGUUGGUGAGGUAGUGGCUUACCAAGGCUUUGACGGGUAGCCGGCCUGAGAGGGUGACCGGCCACAUUGGGACUAAGAGACGGCCCAGACGCCUACGGGAGGCAACAGUGGGAAAUAUUGCGCAAUGGGCGGGAGCCUGAUGCAGCAACGCCGCGUGCGGGAUGACGUCCUUCGGGUUGUAAACCGCUGUCGCCUGUGACGAAGCGUGAGUGACGGUAAUGAGUAAGGAAGCACCGGCUAACUACGUG